UACGGGGGGAGCAAGCGUUGUUCGGAUUUACUGGGCGUAAAGGGCGCGUAGGCGGCCAGCACAAGUCAGACGUGAAAUCCCUCGGCUUAACCGGGGAACUGCGUCUGAUACUGGAUGGCUUGAGAUUGGGAGAGGGAUGCGGAAUUCCAGGUGUAGCGGUGAAAUGCGCAGAUAUCAGGAGGAACACCGAUGGCGAAGGCGGCAUCCUGGACCGGCAUUGACGCUGAGGCGCGAAAGCCAGGGGAGCAAACGGG
This 254-nucleotide ribosomal RNA is filed under the name uncultured bacterium. RNAcentral describes it as "partial 16S ribosomal RNA". It matches the Rfam family "Bacterial small subunit ribosomal RNA", at positions 524 to 776 of the family's 1533-position model. The record is from RNAcentral.